This 497-nucleotide ribosomal RNA is filed under the name uncultured bacterium. Its description in RNAcentral is "partial 16S ribosomal RNA". It matches the Rfam family "Bacterial small subunit ribosomal RNA", at positions 28 to 507 of the family's 1533-position model. The record is from RNAcentral.
GAUGAACGCUGGCGGCGUGCCUAAUACAUGCAAAUCGAGCGAACGGACGAGAAGCUUGCUUCUCUGAUGUUAGCGGCGGACGGGUGAGUAACACGUGGAUAACCUACCUAUAAGACUGGGAUAACUUCGGGAAACCGGAGCUAAUACCGGAUAAUAUUUUGAACCGCAUGGUUCAAAAGUGAAAGACGGUCUUGCUGUCACUUAUAGAUGGAUCCGCGCUGCAUUAGCUAGUUGGUAAGGUAACGGCUUACCAAGGCAACGAUGCAUAGCCGACCUGAGAGGGUGAUCGGCCACACUGGAACUGAGACACGGUCCAGACUCCUACGGGAGGCAGCAGUAGGGAAUCUUCCGCAAUGGGCGAAAGCCUGACGGAGCAACGCCGCGUGAGUGAUGAAGGUCUUCGGAUCGUAAAACUCUGUUAUUAGGGAAGAACAUAUGUGUAAGUAACUGUGCACAUCUUGACGGUACCUAAUCAGAAAGCCACGGCUAACUACGUG